GCUGGCGGCGUGCUUAACACAUGCAAGUCAAGGAAAACGUUUUCUUCGGAAAAUUAUUAAACUGGCGAACGGGUGAGUAACACGUAGGUAAUCUGCCUUAGAGAUUGGGAUAACCCGGCGAAAGCCGGACUAAUACCAAAUAAUGCAGCGGCUUCUUCGGAAGAUGUUGUUAAAGCGGGCUUCGGCCCGCACUUUAAGAUGAGCCUGCGUCCGAUUAGCUUGUUGGUAAGGUAACGGCUUACCAAGGCAAUUAUCGGUAGCUGGUCUGAGAGGACGAUCAGCCACACUGGAAUUGAGAUACGGUCCAGACUCCUACGGGAGGCAGCAGUGGGGAAUUUUGCGCAAUGGGCGAAAGCCUGACGCAGCAACGCCGCGUGAUCGAUGAAGCUCCUCGGAGUGUAAAGAUCUGUCAUAAGGGAAGAAAAAUCCUAUUAAAAAUAUUAUUAGGACUUGACGGUACCUUAUAAGAAAGCACCGGCUAACUUAGUGCCAGCAGCCGCGGUAAUACUAGGGGUGCAAGCGUUGUCCGGAAUCGUUGGGCGUAAAGGGUGCGUAGGCGUCCGAGAAAGUUAUUUGUUAAAUCC
Molecule: ribosomal RNA, 584 nt
Filed under: uncultured bacterium
Lineage: Bacteria
Description: bacterial SSU rRNA
Rfam family: Bacterial small subunit ribosomal RNA
Source: RNAcentral